GAGUUGGGACCCAGCAGUUGCCCUCCAGAUCAUCCUAACCCAGAGCAGGACAAAGGAACAGCCCUUCGUGUGGAAAGGGAGACUUCCAGGGAUUAAUUCUCCUGAGAUCAUCACUGACAUGGAUGCUGCCAGUCUUUCAAUUUCAUUCCUGUUGCUAAUGCAUUUGCUGUCCACCAAGAGGAGCACACAAAGCUAACUUGCCCGUCCUUAUGCUCCUGUCUAUUUGGCC
Molecule: long non-coding RNA, 229 nt
Organism: Serinus canaria (Common canary)
Lineage: Eukaryota; Metazoa; Chordata; Aves; Passeriformes; Fringillidae
Exons: 3
Source: RefSeq, a predicted model, not a curated record